Molecule: ribosomal RNA, 907 nt
Filed under: uncultured bacterium
Lineage: Bacteria
Description: bacterial SSU rRNA
Rfam family: Bacterial small subunit ribosomal RNA
Source: RNAcentral
CUACCAUGCAGUCGAGCGCGAAAGUUUUCGGAUGAGUAGAGCGGCGAACGGGUGAGUAACGCGUGGGAAUCUGCCUGGUAAUGGGGGACAACAUCUCGAAAGGGAUGCUAAUACCGCAUACGCCCUAAGGGGGAAAGUGGGGGAUCUUCGGACCUCACGUUAUCAGAGGAGCCCGCGUCGGAUUAGCUAGUAGGUAGGGUAAAGGCCUACCUAGGCGACGAUCCGUAACUGGUCUGAGAGGAUGAUCAGUCACACUGGAACUGAGACACGGUCCAGACUCCUACGGGAGGCAGCAGUGGGGAAUAUUGGACAAUGGGGGCAACCCUGAUCCAGCCAUGCCGCGUGUGUGAAGAAGGCCUUCGGGUUGUAAAGCACUUUAAGUUGGGAGGAAGGCUUCACGGAUAAUACCUGUGAGGAUUGACGUUACCAACAGAAUAAGCACCGGCUAACUCCGUGCCAGCAGCCGCGGUAAUACGGAGGGUGCAAGCGUUAAUCGGAAUUACUGGGCGUAAAGCGCGCGUAGGCGGCCAUUUAAGCUAGAUGUGAAAGCCCAGGGCUUAACCUUGGAACUGCAUUUAGAACUGGAUGGCUAGAGUAUGGAAGAGGAGUGUGGAAUUUCAGGUGUAGCGGUGAAAUGCGUAGAGAUCUGAAGGAACAUCAGUGGCGAAGGCGACACUCUGGUCCAAUACUGACGCUGAGGUGCGAAAGCGUGGGGAUCAAACAGGAUUAGAUACCCUGGUAGUCCACGCCGUAAACGAUGUCGACUAGCCGUUGGCCUCCUUGAGGGGUUAGUGGCGCAGCUAACGCGAUAAGUCGACCGCCUGGGGAAUUACGGCCGCAAGGUUUAAACUCAAAAUGAAUUGACGGGGGCCCGCACAACCGGUGGAGCAUGUGGUUUUAAUUCGAC